GACGAACGCUGGCGGCGUGCCUAACACAUGCAAGUCGAGCGGAGAUAGACUGAUGGUAACUGAAGUUUGUCUUAGCGGCGGACGGGUGAGUAACACGUGGGCAACCUGCCUUGGAGUGGGGGAUAACACCGGGAAAUCGGUGCUAAUACCGCAUAACAUACACAAACUGCAUGGUAAGUGUAUCAAAGGAGCAAUCCGCUUUAAGAUGGGCCCGCGGCUGAUUAGCUAGUUGGUAAGGUAACGGCUUACCAAGGCGACGAUCGGUAGCCGACCUGAGAGGGUGACCGGCCACACUGGAACUGAGACACGGUCCAGACUCCUACGGGAGGCAGCAGUGGGGAAUAUUGCGCAAUGGGGGAAACCCUGACGCAGCAACGCCGCGUGGAGGAAGAAGGUCUUCGGAUUGUAAACUCCUGUCUUCUGGGACGAAGUAUGACGGUACCAGAGGAGGAAGCCACGGCUAACUACGUG
Molecule: ribosomal RNA, 471 nt
Filed under: uncultured bacterium
Lineage: Bacteria
Description: bacterial SSU rRNA
Rfam family: Bacterial small subunit ribosomal RNA
Source: RNAcentral